UGGGGAAUAUUGCACAAUGGGGGAAACCCUGAUGCAGCGACGCCGCGUGAGCGAAGAAGGCCUUCGGGUCGUAAAGCUCUUUUAUGAGGGAAGAUAAUGACGGUACCUCAAGAAAAAGCCCCGGCUAACUACGUGCCAGCAGCCGCGGUAAUACGUAGGGGGCUAGCGUUGUCCGGAAUCACUGGGCGUAAAGGGUUCGCAGGCGGAAUAACAAGUCAGAUGUGAAAGGCAUGGGCUCAACCCAUGAAAGCAUUUGAAACUGUAAUUCUUGAGAAGUGGAGAGGUAAGUGGAAUUCCUAGUGUAGCGGUGAAAUGCGUAGAUAUUAGGAGGAAUACCUGUGGCGAAGGCGACUUACUGGACACAAAUCUGACGCUGAGGAACGAAAGCGUGGGUAGCAAACAGG
RNAcentral lists this ribosomal RNA (404 nucleotides) under Bacteroidota bacterium. RNAcentral's name for it is "Bacteroidetes bacterium partial 16S ribosomal RNA". It matches the Rfam family "Bacterial small subunit ribosomal RNA", at positions 355 to 776 of the family's 1533-position model. Lineage: Bacteria; Pseudomonadati; Bacteroidota. The record is from RNAcentral.